This 206-nucleotide long non-coding RNA is filed under the name Mytilus galloprovincialis (Mediterranean mussel). The record is from RNAcentral. Lineage: Eukaryota; Metazoa; Mollusca; Bivalvia; Mytilida; Mytilidae.
CCUCUGUAUGGUAUUUAAAACAAUAUAGAGCUAUACUCAUGAAAUGAUCAAGUUGUCAGCAGUCCAAAAUCAUGAAGAUGUCCACAUCUCUGUAGUUGCAUCUUUUCAAACAAAACAUGUACACAUCAACCAUAUUCUUGUUCAUUUUUGAAUCUACAUCAGUUUUACGAAAUCACGAACAUAAAAAUCAACAACAGAAAAUAAAC